RNAcentral lists this long non-coding RNA (160 nucleotides) under Ictidomys tridecemlineatus (thirteen-lined ground squirrel). RNAcentral's name for it is "lncRNA (ENSSTOG00000033620.1)". The record is from RNAcentral. Lineage: Eukaryota; Metazoa; Chordata; Mammalia; Rodentia; Sciuridae.
CUGACUGAAUGAAUUAAAGAUGAUUAAAAAUAUACCGACAUGUCUAGGAACCAUGCAAAGAUGUACCCACCUCCCAGAUGACUUUACAACCUGUUCUUUCUGAACCAGACUUUUACCAAGGACCCCUCGACUGACCCAAAACAUUCCUAAAAAAGGGAAA